GACGAACGCUGGCGGCGUGCUUAACACAUGCAAGUCGUACGGUAAGGCCCUUUCGGGGGUACACGAGUGGCGAACGGGUGAGUAACACGUGAGUAACCUGCCCACAACUUUGGGAUAACGCUAGGAAACUGGUGCUAAUACUGGAUAUGUGCUCCUGCUGCAUGGUGGGGGUUGGAAAGCUCCGGCGGUUGUGGAUGGACUCGCGGCCUAUCAGCUUGUUGGUGGGGUAGUGGCCUACCAAGGCGGCGACGGGUAGCCGGCCUGAGAGGGUGACCGGCCACAUUGGGACUGAGAUACGGCCCAGACUCCUACGGGAGGCAGCAGUGGGGAAUAUUGCACAAUGGGCGCAAGCCUGAUGCAGCAACGCCGCGUGCGGGAUGACGGCCUUCGGGUUGUAAACCGCUUUCAGCAGGGAUGAAGCUUUUUGUGACGGUACCUGCAGAAGAAGCACCGGCUAACUACGUG
RNAcentral lists this ribosomal RNA (465 nucleotides) under uncultured bacterium. RNAcentral's name for it is "partial 16S ribosomal RNA". It matches the Rfam family "Bacterial small subunit ribosomal RNA", at positions 28 to 507 of the family's 1533-position model. The record is from RNAcentral.